This 121-nucleotide ribosomal RNA is filed under the name Penicillium olsonii. The record is from RNAcentral. Lineage: Eukaryota; Fungi; Ascomycota; Eurotiomycetes; Eurotiales; Aspergillaceae.
ACAUACGACUAUAGGGUGUGGAAAACAGGGCUUCCCAUCUGCUCAGCUGCACUUAAGCCACACACCGGUGAAUUAGUAGUUGGGUGGGUGACCACCAGCGAAUCCUCAUUGUUAUAUGUUU